This 315-nucleotide ribosomal RNA is filed under the name Triticum aestivum (bread wheat). Its description in RNAcentral is "partial small subunit ribosomal RNA". The record is from RNAcentral. Lineage: Eukaryota; Viridiplantae; Streptophyta; Magnoliopsida; Poales; Poaceae.
AUGAAGCCUCUCCCGGUGACCCUGGCUCUCCUGGCCCUCUUCCUCGCCGCCUCGUACCAGGAUCUCGCCGUGGCUGCUGCAGAUGCAGAUGCAGAUGGAGUCGGCAGCGGCGCUCCGGUCCUGGACAGCGUGUGCGAGGGCAAGUGCAAGAACCGGUGCUCGCAGAAGGUGGCCGGGCGGUGCAUGGGGCUGUGCAUGAUGUGCUGCGGCAAGUGCGCCGGCUGCGUGCCGUCGGGGCCGUUGGCCCCCAAGGACGAGUGCCCCUGCUACCGGGACAUGAAAUCACCCAAGAGCGGCCGCCCCAAAUGCCCCUAG